GGUAUCCUGUGUUGCUUACCCCUGGAGAGGAAUUUGAUGGAUUUGGUGUCCCCAUCCGCCUUGCGCCCUUCUGGGUGCGGGGUGGACGCGAGUCGGGCUCCGUGUUCCCCGCGUGUCGAGUGCGUUGACGCUCGGCCGCUGUGGCCCAUGGGGUCUCGGCCGUGCUCUCGGAUGCGGAAUGCUGUGUGUGGGCGUGGGGUCUCGGCCUCUGCUCGUCCAAGCUGCACGCAUUGUCCCUUGACAUGAACGACCGCCUCGCCCGUCUUGACCGGCUGACCGAGCCCCCGUCGCGGGGCUUUGGGAGGGCGGCUCAUGC
RNAcentral lists this unclassified non-coding RNA (316 nucleotides) under Zanthoxylum ailanthoides. RNAcentral's name for it is "partial external transcribed spacer". The record is from RNAcentral. Lineage: Eukaryota; Viridiplantae; Streptophyta; Magnoliopsida; Sapindales; Rutaceae.